GAACGAGAAAGCGGGGGCAACUCCGUGAGUAAAGUGGCGACCGGGUGAGUAACACGUGACUAACCUACCCUAGAGUGGGGGAUAACCUCGGGAAACCGGGGCUAAUACCGCAUAACAUCACCGGGUGAAAUUCCUGGUGAUCAAAGGAGCAAUUCGCUGAAGGAGGGGGUCGCGGCUGAUUAGCUAGUUGGUGAGGUAACGGCUCACCAAGGCUUUGAUCAGUAGCCGGCCUGAGAGGGCGCACGGCCACACUGGAACUGAAACACGGUCCAGACUCCUACNGGAGGCAGCAGUGGGGAAUNUUGCGCAAUGGGGGAAACCCUGACGCAGCAACGCCGCGUGGAGGAUGAAGUCCCUUGGGAUGUANACUCCUUUCGAUCGGGACGAAUAUGACGGUACCGGAAGAAGAANNGCACGGCUACUCUGUG
This 428-nucleotide ribosomal RNA is filed under the name uncultured bacterium. Its description in RNAcentral is "bacterial SSU rRNA". It matches the Rfam family "Bacterial small subunit ribosomal RNA", at positions 64 to 507 of the family's 1533-position model. The record is from RNAcentral.